Molecule: long non-coding RNA, 213 nt
Filed under: Panax ginseng (ginseng)
Lineage: Eukaryota; Viridiplantae; Streptophyta; Magnoliopsida; Apiales; Araliaceae
Description: long non-coding RNA (PGIN_LNC008890)
Source: RNAcentral
UCAAAGCUAGCUAGUAAUCAUUUUAGCACAUUAAUGAUAAUAAGCAUGCGUAUAUUAAAUGAAUAAAUAUUGUUCAGUACACAUUUAUAGUAUUAAUUAUCAUAAGCAUUAUAUCAUGAGUAGGAGAGAGGGAAUAUUUACCAUGUUAUUAUCAUUACAACUGGGAAUUCUAAAGCUAGAUUAGUUAAGGUGAAAUGCAUUCAUAUGUCCGGG